AUUGAACGCUGGCGGCAUGCUUUACACAUGCAAGUCGAACGGUAACAGGCCGCAAGGUGCUGACGAGUGGCGAACGGGUGCGUAAUGCAUCGGAACGUGCCCAGUCGUGGGGGAUAACUACUCGAAAGAGUAGCUAAUACCGCAUACGAUCUAUGGAUGACAGCGGGGGACCGUAAGGCCUCGCGCGAUUGGAGCGGCCGAUGUCAGAUUAGGUAGAUGGUGGGGUAAAGGUCCACCAAGCCAACGAUCUGUAGCUGGUCUGAGAGGACGACCAGCCACACUGGGACUGAGACACGGCCCAGACUCCUACGGGAGGCAGCAGUGGGGAAUGUUGGACAAUGGGCGCAAGCCUGAUCCAGCAAUGCCGCGUGCAGGAAGAAGGCCUUCGGGUUGUAAACUGCUUUUGUACGGAACGAAACGGCUCUGGUUAAUACCCGGGGCUAAUGACGGUACCGUAAGAAUAAGCACCGGCUAACUACGUG
Molecule: ribosomal RNA, 482 nt
Filed under: uncultured bacterium
Lineage: Bacteria
Description: partial 16S ribosomal RNA
Rfam family: Bacterial small subunit ribosomal RNA
Source: RNAcentral